GCGGCGGACGGGUGAGUAACACGUGGGUAACCUGCCUGUAAGACCGGGAUAACUCCGGGAAACCGGUGCUAAUACCGGAUAGAUUAUCUUUCCGCCUGGAGAGAUAAGGAAAGAUGGCUUUUGCCAUCACUUACAGAUGGGCCCGCGGCGCAUUAGCUAGUUGGUGAGGUAACGGCUCACCAAGGCGACGAUGCGUAGCCGACCUGAGAGGGUGAUCGGCCACACUGGGACUGAGACACGGCCCAGACUCCUACGGGAGGCAGCAGUAGGGAAUCUUCCGCAAUGGACGAAAGUCUGACGGAGCAACGCCGCGUGAGCGAAGAAGGUCUUCGGAUCGUAAAGCUCUGUUGUUAGGGAAGAACAAGUAUCGGAGGAAAUGCCGGUACCUUGACGGUACCUGACGAGAAAGCCACGGCUAACUACGUGCCAGCAGCCGCGGUAAUAC
RNAcentral lists this ribosomal RNA (445 nucleotides) under Bacillus sp. A07M338. RNAcentral describes it as "bacterial SSU rRNA". It matches the Rfam family "Bacterial small subunit ribosomal RNA", at positions 95 to 526 of the family's 1533-position model. Lineage: Bacteria; Bacillati; Bacillota; Bacilli; Caryophanales; Bacillaceae. RNAcentral also lists the same sequence under 15 other names. The record is from RNAcentral.